Gavialis gangeticus (Gharial) is the source of this 929-nucleotide long non-coding RNA. RefSeq lists it as uncharacterized. The transcript has 4 exons. The record is from RefSeq and is a predicted model, not a curated record. Lineage: Eukaryota; Metazoa; Chordata; Crocodylia; Gavialidae.
AAGUUUUCGUAGGGUGGGGAGAGCUGAGCCCAGAGCUGAGAGCAGGGGAGGAAAAAAAACACUGCAAAGUUGCAGUGCCUGAGUUGACUCUUUGUGCUGCAGACUUUUGUGAUACCUUUCCAAAGCGCCUUUCUUUUUGCUCUCUGUGGGGCUAGGAUUCAGCAGUAACCGUUGCUUAGCAAACCCCGAGGGGCAGCUGAUCCAAAGAGCUUUCCACCCCAGUGAUCAGUGAACCUGACAAGCCUGUGGAUCAAGUAUCACCGAUGAAAACAAAGUUAUCUCCGUUCAGAAUAGACCCUAUCUUGUGAUAUGUAAUUUGCCAUGGGGACAUCAGAGCAAAAUCAGCCAAUAGGUUGUUCUCAUGUUAGCUGAACUGCCCUAGCCAAAUGCUGGACAAAGAUACCUGGGGGGAGAGAAAAAAGAAGGUGACAAGAGAUUGUUCCCUGGCAAUACUGCUGAUUGGCAGAGAUAAACACAAAUAACUUGGGAGGAUAAUUGAGUUAAUGAAAAGUGUUAUAAUGAGAAGAGUUUUCAUUCUGAAAGUCCAUCUGGUGAAAGGAUUCUGCCUUUUCACGACGAGAGACUCUCUCGCAACAAAAGACCGUGGCUUAACAAGUUUGAACAGCAAACAGGAGGCAGAUGCAAAGUAGCUUUCCUUGUUAUGCCCCCCUGCAAUUUUAUAGUUUGCGCCUCAUUUUUUCUAUUAAAUAAAUCCUCAUCUACAGAAUAGGUGGAAAGGUGGGCAGCCCAGUUCACUUUUUAAGCUGACAAUUUCUUUUCUCGUCAUCUUAACUUGCAGCAGGAUGCUGGGUUUUUUUUUUUUCAGAAGUUGCAUGAUUUUACUAUCAGUCUCUGGUCCGUGGUGCAGGCAAGUUCUUUAACCAGAAGAGUGCGAAUUACAUUUCUCAUUUCGUCCCCCCUCUUCUUUG